CAACCUGCCGAUAACUCCGGGAUAGCCUUUCGAAAGAAAGAUUAAUACCGGAUAGCAUACGAAUAUCGCAUGAUAUUUUUAUUAAAGAAUUUCGGUUAUCGAUGGGGAUGCGUUCCAUUAGUUUGUUGGCGGGGUAACGGCCCACCAAGACAACGAUGGAUAGGGGUUCUGAGAGGAAGGUCCCCCACAUUGGAACUGAGACACGGUCCAAACUCCUACGGGAGGCAGCAGUGAGGAAUAUUGGUCAAUGGGCGAGAGCCUGAACCAGCCAAGUAGCGUGAAGGAUGAAGGCUCUAUGGGUCGUAAACUUCUUUUAUAUGGGAAUAAAGUAUUCCACGUGUGGAAUUUCGUAUGUACCAUAUGAAUAAGGAUCGGCUAACUCCGUGCCAGCAGCCGCGGUAAUACGGAGGAUCCGAGCGUUAUCCGGAUUUAUUGGGUUUAAAGGGAGCGUAGGUGGAUUGUUAAGUCAGUUGUGAAAGUUUGCGGCUCAACCGUAAAAUUGCAGUUGAAACUGGCAGUCUUGAGUACAGUAGAGGUGGGCGGAAUUCGUGGUGUAGCGGUGAAAUGCUUAGAUAUCACGAAGAACUCCGAUUG
This 594-nucleotide ribosomal RNA is filed under the name uncultured Bacteroidota bacterium. RNAcentral's name for it is "bacterial SSU rRNA". It matches the Rfam family "Bacterial small subunit ribosomal RNA", at positions 122 to 715 of the family's 1533-position model. The record is from RNAcentral. Lineage: Bacteria; Pseudomonadati; Bacteroidota.